This 2905-nucleotide ribosomal RNA is filed under the name Enterobacter bugandensis. Its description in RNAcentral is "23S ribosomal RNA". It matches the Rfam family "Bacterial large subunit ribosomal RNA". The record is from RNAcentral. Lineage: Bacteria; Pseudomonadati; Pseudomonadota; Gammaproteobacteria; Enterobacterales; Enterobacteriaceae.
GGUUAAGCGACUAAGCGUACACGGUGGAUGCCCUGGCAGUCAGAGGCGAUGAAGGACGUGCUAAUCUGCGAAAAGCGACGGCGAGGUGAUAUGAACCUUUGACCCGUCGAUGUCCGAAUGGGGAAACCCAGUGCAAUUCGUUGCACUAUCGUUAACUGAAUACAUAGGUUAACGAGGCGAACCGGGGGAACUGAAACAUCUAAGUACCCCGAGGAAAAGAAAUCAACCGAGAUUCCCCCAGUAGCGGCGAGCGAACGGGGAGCAGCCCGGAGUCUGAAUCAGCUUGUGUGUUAGUGGAAGCGUCUGGAAAGUCGCACGGUACAGGGUGACAGUCCCGUACACGAAAAUGCACAGGUUGUGAACUCGAAGAGUAGGGCGGGACACGUGGUAUCCUGUCUGAAUAUGGGGGGACCAUCCUCCAAGGCUAAAUACUCCUGACUGACCGAUAGUGAACCAGUACCGUGAGGGAAAGGCGAAAAGAACCCCGGCGAGGGGAGUGAAAAAGAACCUGAAACCGUGUACGUACAAGCAGUGGGAGCACCUUCGUGGUGUGACUGCGUACCUUUUGUAUAAUGGGUCAGCGACUUAUAUUCUGUAGCAAGGUUAACCGUAUAGGGGAGCCGCAGGGAAACCGAGUCUUAACUGGGCGUUAAGUUGCAGGGUAUAGACCCGAAACCCGGUGAUCUAGCCAUGGGCAGGUUGAAGGUUGGGUAACACUAACUGGAGGACCGAACCGACUAAUGUUGAAAAAUUAGCGGAUGACCUGUGGCUGGGGGUGAAAGGCCAAUCAAACCGGGAGAUAGCUGGUUCUCCCCGAAAGCUAUUUAGGUAGCGCCUCGUGAACUCAUCUUCGGGGGUAGAGCACUGUUUCGGCUAGGGGGCCAUCCCGGCUUACCAACCCGAUGCAAACUACGAAUACCGAAGAAUGUUAUCACGGGAGACACACGGCGGGUGCUAACGUCCGUCGUGAAGAGGGAAACAACCCAGACCGCCAGCUAAGGUCCCAAAGUCAUGGUUAAGUGGGAAACGAUGUGGGAAGGCACAGACAGCCAGGAUGUUGGCUUAGAAGCAGCCAUCAUUUAAAGAAAGCGUAAUAGCUCACUGGUCGAGUCGGCCUGCGCGGAAGAUGUAACGGGGCUAAACCAUGCACCGAAGCUGCGGCAGCGACGCUUAUGCGUUGUUGGGUAGGGGAGCGUUCUGUAAGCCGUUGAAGGUGUGCUGUGAGGCAUGCUGGAGGUAUCAGAAGUGCGAAUGCUGACAUAAGUAACGAUAAAGCGGGUGAAAAGCCCGCUCGCCGGAAGACCAAGGGUUCCUGUCCAACGUUAAUCGGGGCAGGGUGAGUCGACCCCUAAGGCGAGGCCGAAAGGCGUAGUCGAUGGGAAACAGGUUAAUAUUCCUGUACUUGGUGUUACUGCGAAGGGGGGACGGAGAAGGCUAUGUCAGCCGGGCGACGGUUGUCCCGGUUUAAGCGUGUAGGUGUGUGUUCCAGGCAAAUCCGGUUCACUUUAACACUGAGGCGUGAUGACGAGGCACUACGGUGCUGAAGUGAUAAAUGCCCUGCUUCCAGGAAAAGCCUCUAAGCAUCAGGUAACACGAAAUCGUACCCCAAACCGACACAGGUGGUCAGGUAGAGAAUACCAAGGCGCUUGAGAGAACUCGGGUGAAGGAACUAGGCAAAAUGGUGCCGUAACUUCGGGAGAAGGCACGCUGAUAUGUAGGUGAAGUCCCUGCGGACGGAGCUGAAAUCAGUCGAAGAUACCAGCUGGCUGCAACUGUUUAUUAAAAACACAGCACUGUGCAAACACGAAAGUGGACGUAUACGGUGUGACGCCUGCCCGGUGCCGGAAGGUUAAUUGAUGGGGUUAGCGGCAACGCGAAGCUCUUGAUCGAAGCCCCGGUAAACGGCGGCCGUAACUAUAACGGUCCUAAGGUAGCGAAAUUCCUUGUCGGGUAAGUUCCGACCUGCACGAAUGGCGUAAUGAUGGCCAGGCUGUCUCCACCCGAGACUCAGUGAAAUUGAACUCGCUGUGAAGAUGCAGUGUACCCGCGGCAAGACGGAAAGACCCCGUGAACCUUUACUAUAGCUUGACACUGAACACUGGUCCUUGAUGUGUAGGAUAGGUGGGAGGCUUUGAAGCGUGGACGCCAGUCUGCGUGGAGCCGUCCUUGAAAUACCACCCUUUAAUGGCUGGUGUUCUAACGUGGACCCGUGAUCCGGGUUGCGGACAGUGUCUGGUGGGUAGUUUGACUGGGGCGGUCUCCUCCCAAAGAGUAACGGAGGAGCACGAAGGUUAGCUAAUCCUGGUCGGACAUCAGGAGGUUAGUGCAAUGGCAUAAGCUAGCUUGACUGCGAGAGUGACGGCUCGAGCAGGUGCGAAAGCAGGUCAUAGUGAUCCGGUGGUUCUGAAUGGAAGGGCCAUCGCUCAACGGAUAAAAGGUACUCCGGGGAUAACAGGCUGAUACCGCCCAAGAGUUCAUAUCGACGGCGGUGUUUGGCACCUCGAUGUCGGCUCAUCACAUCCUGGGGCUGAAGUAGGUCCCAAGGGUAUGGCUGUUCGCCAUUUAAAGUGGUACGCGAGCUGGGUUUAGAACGUCGUGAGACAGUUCGGUCCCUAUCUGCCGUGGGCGCUGGAGAAUUGAGGGGGGCUGCUCCUAGUACGAGAGGACCGGAGUGGACGCAUCACUGGUGUUCGGGUUGUCAUGCCAAUGGCACUGCCCGGUAGCUAAAUGCGGAAGAGAUAAGUGCUGAAAGCAUCUAAGCACGAAACUUGCCCCGAGAUGAGUUCUCCCUGAGACUAUAAGUCUCCUGAAGGAACGUUGAAGACGACGACGUUGAUAGGCCGGGUGUGUAAGCGCAGCGAUGCGUUGAGCUAACCGGUACUAAUGAACCGUGAGGCUUAACCUU